AUUGUGGGGAAUGUUGUCUGGCUCGAGGAAUCUUUAAUCUUGAUCAAAUUCUUUACACAGAUCUAUCAUUAUAUAUGUUUUAUAUAUUUUUUAGAUCUUAUAUAGAUCUAUAAUUGUUAGUUGUUAGAUCUAUGAAUUUUGAUCAUAUUUUUUUGCGUCGUCGGACCAGGCUUCAUUCCCCUCAGA
Molecule: microRNA precursor, 186 nt
Filed under: Nicotiana sylvestris (wood tobacco)
Lineage: Eukaryota; Viridiplantae; Streptophyta; Magnoliopsida; Solanales; Solanaceae
Description: mir-166 microRNA precursor family
Rfam family: mir-166 microRNA precursor family
About the family: This family represents the plant microRNA (miRNA) precursor mir-166. Animal miRNAs are transcribed as ~70nt precursors and subsequently processed by the Dicer enzyme to give a ~22nt product. In plants the precursor sequences may be longer, and the carpel factory (caf) enzyme appears to be involved in processing.
Source: Rfam by way of RNAcentral